AACGGAGCUUAGAGAGCUUGCUUUUUAAGCUUAGUGGCGAACGGGUGAGUAACGCGUGAGUAACCUGCCCUAGAGUGGGGGACAACAGUUGGAAACGACUGCUAAUACCGCAUAAGCCCACGGUACCGCAUGGUACUGAGGGAAAAGGAUUUAUUCGCUUUAGGAUGGACUCGCGUCCAAUUAGCUAGUUGGUGAGGUAACGGCCCACCAAGGCGACGAUUGGUAGCCGGACUGAGAGGUUGAACGGCCACAUUGGGACUGAGACACGGCCCAGACUCCUACGGGAGGCAGCAGUGGGGGAUAUUGCACAAUGGGGGAAACCCUGAUGCAGCGACGCCGCGUGGAGGAAGAAGGUUUUCGGAUUGUAAACUCCUGUCGUUAGGGACGAUAAUGACGGUACCUAACAAGAAAGCACCGGCUAACUACGUGCCAGCAGCCGCGGUAAAACGUAGGGUGCAAGCGUUGUCCGGAAUUACUGGGUGUAAAGGGAGCGCAGGCGGGAAGACAAGUUGGAAGUGAAAACCAUGGGCUCAACCCAUGAAUCGCUUUCAAAACUGUUUUUCUUGAGUAGUGCAGAGGUAGAUGGAAUUCCCGGUGUAGCGGUGGAAUGCGUAGAUAUCGGGAGGAACACCAGUGGCGAAGGCGGUCUACUGGGCACCAACUGACGCUGAGGCUCGAAAGCAUGGGUAGCAAACAGGAUUAGAUACCCUGGUAGUCCAUGCCGUAAACGAUGAUUACUAGGUGUUGGGGGAUUGACCCCCUCAGUGCCGCAGUUAACACAAUAAGUAAU
This 790-nucleotide ribosomal RNA is filed under the name uncultured Bacillota bacterium. Its description in RNAcentral is "bacterial SSU rRNA". It matches the Rfam family "Bacterial small subunit ribosomal RNA", at positions 65 to 868 of the family's 1533-position model. The record is from RNAcentral. Lineage: Bacteria; Bacillati; Bacillota.